UGAGGAAUAUUGGUCAAUGGGCGAGAGCCUGAACCAGCCAUGCCGCGUGCAGGAUGACGGCGCUAUGCGUUGUAAACUGCUUUUGCAGGGGGGUAAAGUCGGGUACGUGUACCCGUUUGAAAGUACCCUGCGAAUAAGGAUCGGCUAACUCCGUGCCAGCAGCCGCGGUAAUACGGAGGAUUCGAGCGUUAUCCGGAUUUAUUGGGUUUAAAGGGUGCGUAGGCGGCGCUUUAAGUCAGUCGUUAAAUCGCGAGGCUCAACCUCGCAAUGGCGAUUGAUACUGGAGUGCUGGAGAUUAUGUGCAGCGGGCGGAAUGAGUAGUGUAGCGGUGAAAUGCUUAGAUAUUACUCAGAACACCGAUUGCGAAGGCAGCUCGCUAACAUACAUCUGACGCUGAGGCACGAAAGCGUGGGGAUCAAACA
Molecule: ribosomal RNA, 422 nt
Filed under: uncultured Bacteroidota bacterium
Lineage: Bacteria; Pseudomonadati; Bacteroidota
Description: uncultured Bacteroidetes bacterium partial 16S ribosomal RNA
Rfam family: Bacterial small subunit ribosomal RNA
Source: RNAcentral